Long non-coding RNA from Phasianus colchicus (ring-necked pheasant), 764 nucleotides. RefSeq lists it as uncharacterized. The record is from RefSeq and is a predicted model, not a curated record. Lineage: Eukaryota; Metazoa; Chordata; Aves; Galliformes; Phasianidae.
UGCCCUCUGGGUUUAUGGUGAUGUCAUCAGAACGCCUUGAUGAAGAGCACGUUUGACCCUGCACUUCACACUUGGUCAUCAUUUAUUUGCUUUAAAUAAAUAAAUAAAUAAUGAAGAAGAAAGAAUCCGAGGAACUCCGUUCUAAACAUCUGUCUGGGCAGAUGUCAAAAUGAGGAGUGUUACUGCUCUAUACUAGCAAAGCGCCUAUGUGGAUCCACUUCCAGAGCAAAUACUGAAGAACAGUGCAAUGUCUUUUACGCCUUAUUCACAUCACGUGGGUAUUUAUAAAGGGGGAAUUGUAGAUAUGCGGCUAUGUGGAAAGAUGCGGAAGAUCUGUUUUUUUGUAAAUGAAUUUUAGCGGACGAGCUCCUUUUGAAGUGAGAUCACAUCGUUUUGAAUUGCUCUGGAUAAAAUCAUUGGCGUGGAGCUGUGUGUUAGUCAGCUGAUUAUAAUCUGGUACAAUAAUCUGCAUUUCUUCAAGAAACGAGAGAUCGACAGUGUCAAGGGCGUUACGAAUCCAGCAGUAAUCUGGGGAAUUGAGUUAGAAUGAGGCAGUGCUUGUAAUGUUAAUAUUCUAGAAACACGUUGCUUAAUUUUUGUUUCCAGAUUGCAUAUAUUAACCCAUUUUAUUAACCUGUCUAUAGCCUUGAUUCAAUAAACCACUCCUAUUCAGUAUAGCUCUAAAGCAUAUGUUUGCCUUUAAACACAUGCUUAAAUCCCAUUGACUUUUUAAUGCUUAAAGUUAAGCACGUGCUUAAAUGUUU